Long non-coding RNA from Aedes albopictus (Asian tiger mosquito), 1355 nucleotides. RefSeq lists it as uncharacterized. The record is from RefSeq and is a predicted model, not a curated record. The transcript is spliced from 2 exons. NCBI's taxonomy places the organism in Eukaryota, Metazoa, Arthropoda, Insecta, Diptera, Culicidae.
UCCAAGCCACAAUCAAACCACCCACCCACCUGUUCGUACCGCCCUGUAAAUCGACGACCAUCACCGGAUUGAGGAUCCAGCAGGAGAGGGCACGGAUCGUAAUAAAAACGAGGAUGUUGAUGGAAAAAGUGCCUCCUAUUCGUGACAGGAUUUAUCGUUGGUUCAGUUUCGUCGAGCGGUCCGUGGCAAACAGACGUGGUUUAGCCUUCGUGGAGUUCGGAUGCGUUUUUGGGGAUUACUAAAAUCCGUUGAGAAGUAGGUAAAGCCCUAGCAACAAACCCUUUGUCACCAUGGGGCAUAGUGGAUGCAGGUCGGUCUAAUUGAAGGAGGAUAGCUCUAUGUGUUUGGGCUCAAAAGGAUAACCCAAGUUGCAACUGAGAGUAGAGGCGGUAUUCGAAUGCAAAGCUCGCCUCCCAUAGUCCCCGGUGGUGGCGGUGGUGGUCUACAGACUGCAGGAGUUCGCUCUUCUACGGGCUGUGAAGGAGCUGACGAAGAAUAAACUAUCAAGCUUUCGUGCGCCUGCAGAUGACAUACGAUAGUGCAUAGUGAGCUGGAGAGAAUAAUACAUGUGACAUGUGUAUGGUGAAGAAUGGAAACAAUUGCCCGUGAGCGAGUUUGUUUUUUAUGAUUUAUGACCACUGGCUCAGGGGGCUGCUGGUGUCGUCGUCAAAUAGAAUAGUGUGGCUUGGACGUGAAUAGUUGCUAUGGCUAUGGCCUGCACGCUGUGAGUUGGCAACCGUUGCGUUGAUGCUGUUCGGCGCUGUCUGGACCACAGGUUUUGGAACGACCACUGGUGAUUUGUACGUUGAAAAGGUGAAUGGAUAAACGGUUGAGCCUGCCGGUGUGUGCGGGGAGAUUUUAAAGUAGAAAAGUGUUUUGUACUAUUGUUGGCGGUGCGCUUGUGAAUACAAUCAAUCAGCGAUACGGAUCGUUCAGUUUUUGGUGGUCAACAGGAUGCUGUGAUUUCAUGAGGAUGUUCGUGUUUCCUGGCGGUGGUGACAAAUGGUGACAGUGCAGCAGAUAUGCUAAAGAAUUGUUAUCAAUUCAGAGAACUCCCCCUAAUCAACAAGAGGAAGUGAGUUUGUACUAAUAUCAAAGCGAUCACCCGUCAGUCGGCUUUCUUAAAGCUGUAUUUUCCCGCCGGAAAGGCGGGCGUGAAUAUCGUAACGUGGCGACUCUCGCCGCCGUGGUGGACGAGGAAGCUUCCUGAUUAAUAAUGAACCGCUGUUGGUAAACUUGACUUUGGUUGGUGCUGGUGUACAACGGAACUGCUUCAACUGCCGGAACAGUGCGGCGUGAAUGCUGAGUGGUUCGAGGCGGAAAAGUUUAUGCGAGGUUCCAGUGGUUGAGGGGGG